RNAcentral lists this ribosomal RNA (426 nucleotides) under uncultured bacterium. RNAcentral's name for it is "bacterial SSU rRNA". It matches the Rfam family "Bacterial small subunit ribosomal RNA", at positions 30 to 457 of the family's 1533-position model. The record is from RNAcentral.
AUUGAACGCUGGCGGCAGGCCUAACACAUGCAAGUCGAGCGGUAGAGAGGUGCUUGCAUCUCUUGAGAGCGGCGGACGGGUGAGUAAUGCCUAGGAAUCUGCCUAGUGGUGGGGGAUAACGUUCGGAAACGGACGCUAAUACCGCAUACGUCCUACGGGAGAAAGCGGGGGAGUCUUCGGACCUCGCGCCAUUAGAUGAGCCUAGGUCGGAUUAGCUAGUUGGUGAGGUAAUGGCUCACCAAGGCGACGAUCCGUGACUGGUCUGAGAGGAUGAUCAGUCACACUGGAACUGAGACACGGUCCAGACUCCUACGGGAGGCAGCAGUGGGGAAUAUUGGACAAUGGGCGAAAGCCUGAUCCAGCAAUGCCGCGUGCAGGAUGAAGGCCUCGGUUGUAACUGACUUUGUUACGGUAACGAAACGGUAC